Molecule: ribosomal RNA, 407 nt
Filed under: uncultured bacterium
Lineage: Bacteria
Description: bacterial SSU rRNA
Rfam family: Bacterial small subunit ribosomal RNA
Source: RNAcentral
UCGGCGGAAGGGUGAGUAAGGCGACGGUAAUCAACCCCAUGGUUGGGUAUAGCCGCGGGAAACUGCGGGUAAUCCCCAGCGACGUCCGGAUCGGGCAUCCGAAUCGGACCAAAGUCCUGGCGCCGUGGGACGAGCCGUCGUGGUAUUAGGUCGUUGGCGGGGUAAUGGCCCACCAAGCCUAUGAUGCCUACCGGGCGUGCGAGCGUGGCCCGGCACACUGGGACUGAGACACUGCCCAGACUCCUACGGGAGGCUGCAGUCGAGAAUCUUCGGCAAUGGGCGCAAGCCUGACCGAGCGACGCCGCGUGGAGGAUGAAGGCCUUCGGGUUGUAAACUCCUGUCGAGGGGGAAGAAGGUCGGGUAACCGGCUUGACCGAUCCCUGCAGGAAGCACGGGCUAAGUUCGUG